GCACUUUUGCGGGUUUCUUCGGAUUGAAGCAAUUGUGACUGAGCGGCGGACGGGUGAGUAACGCGUGGGUAACCUGCCUCAUACAGGGGGAUAACAGUUGGAAACGGCUGCUAAUACCGCAUAAGCGCACAGUACCGCAUGGUACCGUGUGAAAAACUCCGGUGGUAUGAGAUGGACCCGCGUCUGAUUAGCUAGUUGGUGGGGUAACGGCCUACCAAGGCGACGAUCAGUAGCCGACCUGAGAGGGUGACCGGCCACAUUGGGACUGAGACACGGCCCAAACUCCUACGGGAGGCAGCAGUGGGGAAUAUUGCACAAUGGGGGAAACCCUGAUGCAGCGACGCCGCGUGAGCGAUGAAGUAUUUCGGUAUGUAAAGCUCUAUCAGCGGGGAAGAAAAUGACGGUACCUGACUAAGAAGCCCCGGCUAACUACGUGCCAGCAGCCGCGGUAAUACGUAGGGGGCAAGCGUUAUCCGGAUUUACUGGGUGUAAAGGGAGCGUAGACGGCAUGGCAAGCCAGAUGUGAAAGCCCGGGGCUCAACCCCGGGACUGCAUUUGGAACUGUCAGGCUAGAGUGUCGGAGAGGAAAGCGGAAUUCCUAGUGUAGCGGUGAAAUGUGUAGAUAUUAGGAGGAACACCAGUGGCGAAGGCGG
Molecule: ribosomal RNA, 653 nt
Filed under: uncultured Lachnospiraceae bacterium
Lineage: Bacteria; Bacillati; Bacillota; Clostridia; Lachnospirales; Lachnospiraceae
Description: bacterial SSU rRNA
Rfam family: Bacterial small subunit ribosomal RNA
Source: RNAcentral